GUUGUAACAUUAGGCUAGGGGUUAUGAACUAUCAAAGAAAGGAUAGAGAAAAACUAAAGCUUAAGAAAUAUCAAGAUAUCUUCAUAAUGUGAUUCAGUUGACUCUCUUUUGGAACUUGGAUCUUCUAUUAUUGGCAUCCAAGACUCAUGUCAAAAGGAUGGAACCAUUUUGAACUCUUCUUUUCUAAUUCUUUUGAUUUUUUUUUCUCUUUUUUUUCGAUUCUUUUCUUUCUUUCUUUCUUUUUUAUUUUUGCUUUUUUACACAAUAAUAUGAAUAAUAAUAUAACACAGGGUACCUCAGUACACAUCACUUCUUAGGUUAGAACCCCAACCUUUACUUCUUGACGUUUCACUUUGGUUAUCCCUUAAACUAUAGGAUAUGGCUAAUAUAGGUUAAAUAGGUAAAGGGUGAAUUUGAGUAAUGAAAGAAAAGGCUAAGUGUUUGGCUUCAAAAGGGAAACUAUGGAUAAUAUAAUAAAAGGUUGGUUAGAAAAGCUCAAACGGUACAAAGAUGGCCAAAAUCAUCUCUCUAAUGUUACAUGACUUAGGAUUUCGCCUCAAGAGAUAUUGAAGCAAGUUCUAAGAUGGAUGCUAUCAUGAACUUCACAAAGAAAGAAUUAUGCAAUAGCUCAAAAUCUACAAAAUGUUCAUUAAGGUUUUCACUUAAAAUCCACAUAUAAUUCUCUGAGUUAAGAGCUAAUCAUGCUAACGUUGGUUAUUUGUAUAAAAUAAACUUGAGAAUGAUAAUGUAAGAAUUGAUUAGCCAUAUAAAACAACUGAAAUUUCACAUAAAAAGAGCCAAUUCAAAUAAGCGUGUGACCUAGAAGAAAACGAAGUAUUAUCAUUGACUUAUGGAAGAUCUAACUAAAAAAAUGACUCAAGAAAAAUAAAUCUUUUUUAUUUUUUGACUUUUUUUUCUUCUGUGGAUUAAUUUUUAUGACAAGAAAUUUUGAAAAGUAAUGCUCAAAGGCCAAACGACUAAUUAACAAGAAAUUUUGAACAAGGAAACCGAUGGACUAAAUCAACAAGAAAAACAAAAU
This 1039-nucleotide long non-coding RNA is filed under the name Malus domestica (apple). RNAcentral describes it as "long non-coding RNA (MDOM_LNC012675)". The record is from RNAcentral. Lineage: Eukaryota; Viridiplantae; Streptophyta; Magnoliopsida; Rosales; Rosaceae.